AUACGAAGGGGGCUAGCGUUGUUCGGAUUUACUGGGCGUAAAGCGCACGUAGGCGGAUUGAUAAGUUAGGGGUGAAAUCCCGAGGCUCAACCUCGGAACUGCCUCUAAUACUGUCAAUCUCGAGACCGGAAGAGGUGAGUGGAACUCCUAGUGUAGAGGUGGAAUUCGUAGAUAUUAGGAAGAACACCAGUGGCGAAGGCGGCUCACUGGUCCGGUACUGACGCUGAGGUGCGAAAGCGUGGGGAGCGAACAGGAUUAGAUACCCCAGUAGUCC
This 274-nucleotide ribosomal RNA is filed under the name uncultured bacterium. Its description in RNAcentral is "partial 16S ribosomal RNA". It matches the Rfam family "Bacterial small subunit ribosomal RNA", at positions 523 to 796 of the family's 1533-position model. The record is from RNAcentral.